RNAcentral lists this ribosomal RNA (1330 nucleotides) under Chaetothyriales sp. PF52c. RNAcentral describes it as "eukaryotic LSU rRNA". It matches the Rfam family "Eukaryotic large subunit ribosomal RNA", at positions 86 to 1433 of the family's 3401-position model. Lineage: Eukaryota; Fungi; Ascomycota; Eurotiomycetes; Chaetothyriales. The record is from RNAcentral.
ACGGCGAGUGAAGCGGCAACAGCUCAAAUUUGAAAUCUGGCCCCUCUGGGUCCGAGUUGUAAUUUGGAGAGGAUGUUUUGGGCACCGCGGCGGUGUAAAUUUCUUGGAACAGAAUGUCAUAGAGGGUGAGAAUCCCGUCUUGGACCACCGUAGGACCCGUGUAAAACUCCUUCGACGAGUCGACUUGUUUGGGAAUGCAGGUCAAAAUGGGUGGUAAAUUUCAUCUAAAGCUAAAUAUUGGCCAGAGACCGAUAGCGCACAAGUAGAGUGAUCGAAAGAUGAAAAGCACUUUGAAAAGAGAGUUAAACAGUAUGUGAAAUUGUUGAAAGGGAAGCGCUGGCAACCAGACUCGUGCGCGGGGUUCCCCCUUGCUUCUGCUUGGGUUACUUCCCCGUGUCCGGGCCAUCAUCAGUUUUGGGGGCCGGUUAAAGGCCCCGGGAAAGUAUCCUCCCCUUCGGGAGAGGACUUAUAGCCCGGGGUGUCAUGCGGCCUCCCGGGACUGAGGAACGCGCUUCGGCGAGGAUGAUGGCGUAAUGGUUGUCAGCGACCCGUCUUGAAACACGGACCAAGGAGUCUAACAUCUAUGCGAGUGUUCGGGUGUCAAACCCUGGCGCGUAAUGAAAGUGAACGGAGGUAGGAAGGCCUGAGCCUGCACUAUCGACCGAUCCUGAUGUCUUCGGAUGGAUUUGAGUAAGAGCAUAGCUGUUGGGACCCGAAAGAUGGUGAACUAUGCGUGAAUAGGGUGAAGCCAGAGGAAACUCUGGUGGAGGCUCGCAGCGGUUCUGACGUGCAAAUCGAUCGUCAAAUUUGCGUAUAGGGGCGAAAGACUAAUCGAACUAUCUGGUAGCUGGUUUCUGCCGAAGUUUCCCUCAGGAUAGCAGUAACGUUUUCAGUUUUAUGAGGUAAAGCGAAUGAUUAGAGGCCUUGGGGUUGAAACAACCUUAACCUAUUCUCAAACUUUAAAUAUGUAAGAAGUCCUUGUUACUUAGUUGAACGUGGACAUUUGAAUGUAUCGUUACUAGUGGGCCAUUUUUGGUAAGCAGAACUGGCGAUGCGGGAUGAACCGAACGCGAGGUUAAGGUGCCGGAAUGCACGCUCAUCAGACACCACAAAAGGUGUCAAUGCAUCUAGACAGCCGGACGGUGGCCAUGGAAGUCGGAAUCCGCUUAGGAGUGUGUAACAACUCACCGGCCGAAUGCAUUGGCCCUGAAAAUGGAUGGCGCUUAAAGCGUGUUACCCAUACCUCGCCGUCAGGGUUGACAUGAUACCCUGACGAGUAGGCAGGCGUGGAGGUCCGUGACGAAGCCUUGGGGGUGACCCCGGGUCGAAC